UACGAAGGGGGCUAGCGUUGUUCGGAAUUACUGGGCGUAAAGCGUAUGCAGGCGGAUCGUUAAGUCGGGGGUGAAAUCCCGAGGCUCAACCUCGGAACUGCCUUCGAUACUGGCGAUCUUCGAGUCCGGGAGAGGUGAGUGGAACUCCGAGUGUAGAGGUGAAAUUCGUAGAUAUUCACAAGAACACCAGUGGCGAAGGCGGCUCACUGGCCCGGUACUGACGCUGAGGUGCGAAAGCGCGGGGAGCAAACAGG
RNAcentral lists this ribosomal RNA (254 nucleotides) under uncultured bacterium. RNAcentral describes it as "partial 16S ribosomal RNA". It matches the Rfam family "Bacterial small subunit ribosomal RNA", at positions 524 to 776 of the family's 1533-position model. The record is from RNAcentral.